Molecule: long non-coding RNA, 502 nt
Organism: Mus musculus (house mouse)
Lineage: Eukaryota; Metazoa; Chordata; Mammalia; Rodentia; Muridae
Product: predicted gene, 33154
Exons: 3
Source: RefSeq, a predicted model, not a curated record
CCAGUGGUAGCCAGCGCCAUCUUGUAAUGGCAUUUGCGGCUUCCCACAUCUACUUAGGUGAUUCUAGGGGCAUCUAAGGAAUCUAGCAGAGCAUGAACCUGAACCAGCCAAAAGUAAAUAUUUGAGUACCUGCAGCUGCAGAUCAAAAGGAUUCCAUCCUCACUUAUACCAAACUCGACCAACAACUUAUCCCCAUGGUUAAAUGGCUUGUCCAAGAUCAGGAAGAACAGUUGUGGAGAUCGUCAGUCAGACCCGGCACAGUUGCUGCUGCUGCAGGUUUCUGUAGUUUAACAGCAGAUUGGGACAGUAUUAUAUACCAUCGCACCCAUGGAGCUAGAAUCUAGGCCACUCAGCCAAACCAAGUGGGUUGCGGUGUCAGCUGGAAUUUUCCUGCACUAUCUGUGUUCCAUCCUGCCACACUGAGUGUGGCUCAGACAGGUACAACUGACACAACUCACCUGGGGAUCUUUGAUAUUCAGAUAAUAAAGGAGUCAUUCCUUCA